UCGAUUGAAAGAGCAGCUUCAUACUCUAUAGAUUUCCUCUAGUCACUUUACCGCACUCAGUGUGGGUUCUAAGUUGCGUUUUCACUGAUUCAAACUAAUUAAGAUAUUCUGGAACGUAUUUAACCAUAUAAAGUCUAGUUACUAUGAGUCUAUGAAUACUAAAUCUUUCGGACCAAAGCAUACGAUAUGGCAUUUUGAAGAUGUAUCGUGAUAAUUGAAUUAGGGGCUUUUCAGGAUGACAAGAUAACUAUCCUUUCGUUUGAGUUGGUUUGUUCCAAGCAUCUUCAGGCUUGGUUUAUAAUAGGCAAGUUGAAGAUGUAUUAGGAUAAUUGAAUUUUACUUCGAGAUGAGUAAAACUGACUGAAGUUUGACUUACUUCACCUAACAGUGAUAAUUGAAUUUUACUUCGAGAUGAGUAAAACUGACUGAAGUUUGACUUCACCUAACAGUCGGGCAGGUAUUCCAAGUGGCGCUGCAGAAAUCUUUUCUCUCAUGCAGCAUAUGGGUUGUGAACCAGACAGAGCAUCGUA
RNAcentral lists this long non-coding RNA (530 nucleotides) under Olea europaea (common olive). RNAcentral's name for it is "long non-coding RNA (OEUR_LNC007463)". Lineage: Eukaryota; Viridiplantae; Streptophyta; Magnoliopsida; Lamiales; Oleaceae. The record is from RNAcentral.